GCGCGCCAUCGGCCGGCGACCGGUAAAAGACGACGGCUUCAGUGGUUAGCACUGUGUCUUACUGUGCGCGUCGGCAGCAGAGACAAGGCGGGAUAAAAACGAGGCCUCGCGUGCCCUGCCUCCCCCCUUCUCCUCCAUCUCCAUGGAGGAGGGGGAGGGCUUCCUCAGGGUCCUACGAGCGCUGCGCGACGCCGCGCGGAGGGUGGAGGCCGGCGAGGGCCGCGGGCCGGCUCUGCAGGCGCUCCUCGCGCUCGAGGCCGGCGCCGACGACCUCCUCGCCGGCGACCCCAACCUCUCCGCGCUGCGCCGGCUCCUCUACCGGCUCAGAGCCCUCUCGUGCUCCGUUGACCUGUGCGGGGCCGGGGAGGAGGGGGGAGGGGUGAUUGGCUCCUUGCGCGCGCAGUGCCGCCGGUGCGGCGCGCGGAGGGGGAUCGCGCGCGUGGCCGGCGCCGUCGCCGGCGAGAUCCAGGCGUGGAUCGACCGGGAGACCAUCGCGCGCCUCGUGGCCGAGCUUCGGCGCUCCGAAGGCGGCGGCGGGGCGGACGCCGCCCGCGCGCUCCUCGCGGAGCUCGAGGCGCGGCUGCUAUCCGUCGGCCAGUUCGACCCGCGGCUCCAGCGCGCGCUGCUGCAGCACGGCGUGUUCGCCGCCGUCGAGGCGAAGCUCGGGGACCCGGCCGUAUGCGACGGGUGCGCGGCGGCGGUGCUCGCGCUGGUGCGCUUCAACAAGGACGUGUUCGUGGGGCCGGUCCUGAUGGGCCCCGCCGUCGGCGCGCUGGUGGCGGCCGCGUCGGGCUCCCCCGCGCCGCUGCGCGCGCUCAACGGGCUCGUGGCCGCCAUCCGCAGCCCGCUCGUGGACGAGCUCCACGCGCGCGGCGAGGUCCCGCGGCUCGUCGCGCUGCUCUGCGCGCCCGACCCCCGCGUCCGCACGCUCGCGCUCGAGUUUGCGCUCCGCGUCGGCUACUACGGCCGCAAGGAGGUCGUGGACGCGCUCCUCGCCGAGGGCCUCGUCAAGCGCCUCCUCUGCCUGCAGCGCUCCGACGACCUCGGCGGCUCGCUCGCCGACGCGGACGACCCCUACUGCUCCCCGAAAGCGAAGCCCGACGCCAAAGGCGUCUCCCUCCUGGCCCGCCUCCUGGGGCGGCGCUGCGAGGACGACGGCGCCGCGGCGCUGGCAUCGGAGCGGCCGUUCGCGAGCGCGGUGGCGCGGUUCGCGGUGCAGGUGGAGGUGGGCGAGGGGCUGAGCCCGCGGGAGAAGCGCGCGGCGAAGCUGGAGAUCCUGCGGCGCGCGCGGGAGGCGGCCGUGUCGCCGGCGGAGGAGGCCACCGUGCUCGCCGAGGUGCUCUGGGGCGCCACGCCGUAGCUGAAAGCUCCUACCUUGACCGCUGACUUUCGGGGUCCACGUGCCCCGCACGCUGUGGACUCGUGUGGUUGGCGUGCGCCUUCUUCACCCUUUUUUUCCUUAGUUUUUUCGUUUUGUUUUUGUGAAUAUUAGAUCUCUUGGUGUAGUGUAGAUAGGACUUGGUCGUAGAGACGACUCCGAUCCAUGUAUGUACAUGGAUUCUGUACAGGAGAGUCAAGAGGUGACAAUUUUUUAACCUGUGGAAAAGAAAACUGGCAGAAAUGAACAGAUGAUUAGUGAUGCAAUGACAGUGAUAGACUCCAGUCCGUUUCCCUUUGGACAUUACUGGAGCAGUUAAAGUUGGUGCGAGGUAACCGAACUAAAAGCAGUGAUCUGAACAUUCUUAAGUAGCACAAACGUUGAUGUCUCAUCAGAAGAGGGGAAACAAACGUUCGAUGUAGAAUGAUCGCGAGGGAUAAGACAAGCAAUUAUUCAUGCGCAAUUCAAUUUCGGUACGC
This 1857-nucleotide long non-coding RNA is filed under the name Setaria viridis. RNAcentral's name for it is "long non-coding RNA (SVIR_LNC001139)". The record is from RNAcentral. Lineage: Eukaryota; Viridiplantae; Streptophyta; Magnoliopsida; Poales; Poaceae.